AGGCUAUGUUGGCCGGGCGACGGUUGUCCCGGUUUAAGCGUGUAGGCUGGUUUUCCAGGCAAAUCCGGAAAAUCAAGGCUGAGGCGUGAUGACGAGGCACUACGGUGCUGAAGCGACAAAUGCCCUGCUUCCAGGAAAAGCCUCUAAGCAUCAGGUAACAUCAAAUCGUACCCCAAACCGACACAGGUGGUCAGGUAGAGAAUACCAAGGCGCUUGAGAGAACUCGGGUGAAGGAACUAGGCAAAAUGGUGCCGUAACUUCGGGAGAAGGCACGCUGAUAUGUAGGUGAAGCGACUUGCUCGUGGAGCUGAAAUCAGUCGAAGAUACCAGCUGGCUGCAACUGUUUAUUAAAAACACAGCACUGUGCAAACACGAAAGUGGACGUAUACGGUGUGACGCCUGCCCGGUGCCGGAAGGUUAAUUGAUGGGGUUAGCGGUAACGCGAAGCUCUUGAUCGAAGCCCCGGUAAACGGCGGCCGUAACUAUAACGGUCCUAAGGUAGCGAAAUUCCUUGUCGGGUAAGUUCCGACCUGCACGAAUGGCGUAAUGAUGGCCAGGCUGUCUCCACCCGAGACUCAGUGAAAUUGAACUCGCUGUGAAGAUGCAGUGUACCCGCGGCAAGACGGAAAGACCCCGUGAACCUUUACUAUAGCUUGACACUGAACAUUGAGCCUUGAUGUGUAGGAUAGGUGGGAGGCUUUGAAGUGUGGACGCCAGUCUGCAUGGAGCCGACCUUGAAAUACCACCCUUUAAUGUUUGAUGUUCUAACGUGGGCCCCUUACCGGGGUUGCGGACAGUGUCUGGUGGGUAGUUUGACUGGGGCGGUCUCCUCCUAAAGAGUAACGGAGGAGCACGAAGGUUGGCUAAUCCUGGUCGGACAUCAGGAGGUUAGUGCAAUGGCAUAAGCCAGCUUGACUGCGAGCGUGACGGCGCGAGCAGGUGCGAAAGCAGGUCAUAGUGAUCCGGUGGUUCUGAAUGGAAGGGCCAUCGCUCAACGGAUAAAAGGUACUCCGGGGAUAACAGGCUGAUACCGCCCAAGAGUUCAUAUCGACGGCGGUGUUUGGCACCUCGAUGUCGGCUCAUCACAUCCUGGGGCUGAAGUAGGUCCCAAGGGUAUGGCUGUUCGCCAUUUAAAGUGGUACGCGAGCUGGGUUUAGAACGUCGUGAGACAGUUCGGUCCCUAUCUGCCGUGGGCGCUGGAGAACUGAGGGGGGCUGCUCCUAGUACGAGAGGACCGGAGUGGACGCAUCACUGGUGUUCGGGUUGUCAUGCCAAUGGCACUGCCCGGUAGCUAAAUGCGGAAGAGAUAAGUGCUGAAAGCAUCUAAGCACGAAACUUGCCCCGAGAUGAGUUCUCCCUGACUCCUUGAGAGUCCUGAAGGAACGUUGAAGACGACGACGUUGAUAGGCCGGGUGUGUAAGCGCAGCGAUGCGUUGAGCUAACCGGUACUAAUGAACCGUGAGGCUUAACCUUACAACGCCGAAG
Molecule: ribosomal RNA, 1485 nt
Filed under: Escherichia coli
Lineage: Bacteria; Pseudomonadati; Pseudomonadota; Gammaproteobacteria; Enterobacterales; Enterobacteriaceae
Description: partial 23S ribosomal RNA
Rfam family: Bacterial large subunit ribosomal RNA
Source: RNAcentral